AAUGCCACAGCCCCAGUCAACAUAUUCUUAAAGAGAUCACAUAUCAAUCCUUACUGAAAUUCAAUAUUGAAAUAAAAUACACUAAAUUGCCAUGACA
This is a long non-coding RNA of Alosa sapidissima (American shad), 97 nucleotides long. RefSeq lists it as uncharacterized. The transcript has 3 exons. NCBI's taxonomy places the organism in Eukaryota, Metazoa, Chordata, Actinopteri, Clupeiformes, Clupeidae. The record is from RefSeq and is a predicted model, not a curated record.